Molecule: long non-coding RNA, 669 nt
Organism: Lynx canadensis (Canada lynx)
Lineage: Eukaryota; Metazoa; Chordata; Mammalia; Carnivora; Felidae
Exons: 3
Source: RefSeq, a predicted model, not a curated record
AAAGAACGGCUGGCUGCCUCGGGGAAGACAAGUAGUUGGGAAUGGCUGGAGUGCAGAAUCCUACAGUGAGGGACGUGGGGGAAGGAGAGAGAAGGGAGCACUGAGAGAAGCAAGGGAGCAGAACAGAACACUCUUCUGACUUCCAAUUUAAAAAUACUGUAAACACCAUGACAAUCAGAGAGGACCAGAACUUGCCAAGACAGUGUCAGAGAAAGCCACUGGUGGACUGGAAGAACAUGAUCGUUGACCACACUUGUGGGAGGAAUGCUCCAGGUUUAUCAGGGCUAACAAACUGGACUCCUGGGCAUAACUUUGAGAAUACGGCCUAUCUAAUUAGCAGCUCCUGGUGAAGGAAAUUCUGCAAAGACAAGAGGAAGGGAAGGCCUACUGGUGCAGAUGUGAAAGAAAGUGGAAUUUCAAGUGGUAAAGCCAUUUAGGAAGAAAAUUUUAAAUAAAGUUGGGGACUAAAAACCUUGAAAUAAUAUUGAACCUACUGUUUUGUCCAGUAGGGGUACUUGUGUUAACACUUAAAAUUUGCAACCCUUCUGUUCCCUUUCCUGUUAGAAUACUAACCAGUAACAAAUAAAAGUUGGUCUUCCAUUGUGUGCACCCCAAAGGAGAUAUUUCUGUGACAGCCUCCUUCAGAAAUGAGUGCUGUGUCCGAUAAAA